GGCUCAUGCCUCCUGUGAGGCAGAUUACAUGCGGCUGUGUGGGAGUGGGGUUGCUUAGAGGAGCGGUCUCCCCGACAUGAAAUACUGCCUGUGCAGAUUACUGUGAAGUUGGGAGAAAACUGACAAGCAGAUCACCUGAAAGUGCUGGUUACGUGGUAGACGCUGGUGAGAGAUUCCCAUUGCCUUUCUUGGAUUUUGCUCAGUUCUAGAGAACUGUGUUGGCUCCUCCCCAUGCAUCUGGGCACCCAGAUCCUGCCCCUGCUCAGGACUAAAGCUCUAAAUAAUCCACCCACCCCACUGCCAUGCUGCCCCAAUACUGUGUUUGGAAAUGCUCAGCACUUUUGAAAAAGACAAAAAAGUAGAUGAGCAUCUGGACCGGAGACUUGUGCUUUGACUGAUAAGGAUAAAAGACAGCCAGAGUGUCUACAUGGUAGAGCCCAGAAUGAAAGAACAAGUCACUGUAGGGGUAUCUCUGCAAUCCUCAUUAAACAUCAGAGCCCACAAGGCAGGUUUUGGAUUAUUUCUGAAGCUAAUCAUAGAGUAACACUCCAUCAACUGGGAACCCGACUCCUUCCUGUGUUGCUGGAACAGAGUUCUAUAAGCUAA
Molecule: long non-coding RNA, 606 nt
Filed under: Piliocolobus tephrosceles (Ugandan red Colobus)
Lineage: Eukaryota; Metazoa; Chordata; Mammalia; Primates; Cercopithecidae
Description: lncRNA (ENSPTEG00000025861.1)
Source: RNAcentral